This 762-nucleotide long non-coding RNA is filed under the name Physcomitrium patens. RNAcentral describes it as "long non-coding RNA (PPAT_LNC001778)". Lineage: Eukaryota; Viridiplantae; Streptophyta; Bryopsida; Funariales; Funariaceae. The record is from RNAcentral.
UCUCCUCAAGCCUUGUAAGUUUGAUUUGAAGAUCUUGCAUUCUAUGUACAAUCUUCUCAAGUUUCAUUGUUAAAAUACGUGAAGUCUUGCUUGAGAAUGCUCCGCGCACAUGGCUAUGGAAGAUAGAAUGGAAAUUAUAACAACAAAAUCCUAAUUUUAAUAGAAUACUAACAAUGCUAAACAAGCUUUAAUCAAAUUCAAAAAAACCUUAAAAGAAUUACAAAUAAAUAAUAAGAAAUCUUAAAGAAAUAUUAGAAUGAUCACAAAUAUAUUUCAAAUAAAUCUCAAUCCAAUUUUAAUUUAAUUUUAGUUAAAACUCUAUUGGAUUUUAUUCAAACUUUAGACCAAAAACUAACUAAAUCUUAAACUGUAAUCAAAUCCUACAAAAAUCCUAAAUCCUAAAUCAACUCUCAACUAAAUCUUAAUCUUAAAUCAAAUCCUAACCAAAUGCUAAAUCCUAAAAUCCUAGAAUCUAAAUCGUAAUCCUAAAUCAAGCCUUAACCAAAUCCUAAAUCCUAAAUCAAAACCUAAACCAAAUCCUAAUCAAAUCCUAAAUCCUAAAUCAAAUCCUAACCAAAUCCUAACCAAAUUUUAAAUCCUAAAUCAAAUCCUAAAUCCUAAAUCAAAUCCUAACCAAAUCCUAACCAAACUUUAAAUCCUAAAUCAAAUCCUAAAUCCUACAUCAAAUUCUAAAUUCUAAAUUAAAUCCUAAAUCCUAAAUCCUAAACCAAAUCCUAAUCAAAUCCUAAUCCUAAGUCAAAU